This 216-nucleotide ribosomal RNA is filed under the name uncultured bacterium. RNAcentral describes it as "partial 16S ribosomal RNA". It matches the Rfam family "Bacterial small subunit ribosomal RNA", at positions 326 to 539 of the family's 1533-position model. The record is from RNAcentral.
ACGCUCGACACCUACGGGGCAGCAGUGAGGAAUAUUGGUCAAUGGACGCAAGUCUGAACCAGCCAUGCCGCGUGCAGGAUGACGGCUCUAUGAGUUGUAAACUGCUUUUGUACGAGGGUAAACGCAGAUACGUGUAUCUGUCUGAAAGUAUCGUACGAAUAAGGAUCGGCUAACUCCGUGCCAGCAGCCGCGGUAAUCUGAGCGGGCUGGCAAGGC